GGACCAAUGGUGUAGCCUGGCAUCACCCUAGAUUCUGAUUCUAGUAACGUGAGUUCGAAUCUCGCUUGGUCCU
Non-coding RNA from Lodderomyces parapsilosis, 73 nucleotides. Lineage: Eukaryota; Fungi; Ascomycota; Pichiomycetes; Serinales; Debaryomycetaceae. The record is from the annotation of a RefSeq genome assembly.